AGCUCCAAGAGCGUAUAUUAAAGUUGUUGCAGUUAAAAAGCUCGUAGUUGGAUUUCUGGUACAAUGCGCCUGGCCCGCGGCGGUUACGCCUGUGAGUGCCGGAGCGCGUUUGCCAUCCUUCUAGAAAACGUUUCUACCCUUCACUGGGCCGGACUCGCGAUCUAGAUCUUUUACUUUGAAAAAAUUAGAGUGUUUAAAGCAGGCUUUUGCUAUGAAUACAUUAGCAUGGAAUAAUAAUCUAGGACUUCGGUUCUAUUUUGUUGGUUUCUAGUACUGAAGUAAUGAUUGAUAGGGAUAGUUGGGGGUGCUAGUAUUGGCCGGCCAGAGGUGAAAUUCUUGGAUUCGGUCAAGACUAACUUAUGCGAAAGCAUUCACCAAGGAUGUCUUCUUUAAUCAAGAA
This 400-nucleotide ribosomal RNA is filed under the name phytoplankton environmental sample. RNAcentral describes it as "partial small subunit ribosomal RNA". It matches the Rfam family "Eukaryotic small subunit ribosomal RNA", at positions 587 to 983 of the family's 1831-position model. The record is from RNAcentral.